GCUGUCCUGGACCUGCCAGCACCACAGGCACAGCCUUUCUGCUGUGCUGGUGACAUCAGGGCAAAGAGCAAGCGGCUAUUUCUACGCUCAGUGUUCAGAAGCCAAUGAGCACUAAGAAUGGUGUAUAGCCUGACAUUC
Molecule: small nucleolar RNA, 138 nt
Organism: Jaculus jaculus (lesser Egyptian jerboa)
Lineage: Eukaryota; Metazoa; Chordata; Mammalia; Rodentia; Dipodidae
Source: Ensembl